This 227-nucleotide ribosomal RNA is filed under the name uncultured bacterium. RNAcentral describes it as "partial 16S ribosomal RNA". It matches the Rfam family "Bacterial small subunit ribosomal RNA", at positions 15 to 230 of the family's 1533-position model. The record is from RNAcentral.
GAUCAUGGCUCAGGAUGAACGCUAGCUACAGGCUUAACACAUGCAAGUCGAGGGGCAGCAUGGUCUUAGCUUGCUAAGGCCGAUGGCGACCGGCGCACGGGUGAGUAACACGUAUCCAACCUGCCGUCUACUCUUGGACAGCCUUCUGAAAGGAAGAUUAAUACAAGAUGGCAUCAUGAGUCCGCAUGUUCACAUGAUUUAAAGGGUAUUCCGGUAGACGGAUGGGG